AGGUCUGUCUCCUGUUUCUGGGGUAAAUUAGUCUGAAGGAUGUUUCCUGCUCAUGGGAGGGACUAUAAAUCAGCCCAAUACUGAGGAGACAUUCAAAACUCCCACAUACUCCUGAUAUGAGCCGUUGGAUGUGUAUAGAUGAACACAUUCUUUCAACUGAUACUGUCUUUACCAGCUUCAUCCGAAAUUGUUGUGCUGUGAUGGGAACAUGCUGCUACUUAGUUUACAUGGCGAUCUAUUGUUAUGGUAUGAGAUUUCAGUUUAACCCAUCCCAAAAUGUCAAACAAGAAAAAUCUAACUGGUUUGCCACUUUGCAUGUUGGCCAGCCAGUUCCUUUCUGUCUAGAUUAAA
Carassius carassius (crucian carp) is the source of this 351-nucleotide long non-coding RNA. RefSeq lists it as uncharacterized. Lineage: Eukaryota; Metazoa; Chordata; Actinopteri; Cypriniformes; Cyprinidae. The record is from RefSeq and is a predicted model, not a curated record. The transcript has 2 exons.